CGCGAAUAGCUCAUUACAACAGCUAUAAUUUACUUGAUCUUGACAAUCCUACUUGGAUAACUGUGGUAAUUCUAGAGCUAAUACAUGCACCAAAGCUCCGACCUCGCGGGAGGAGCGCAUUUAUUAGAACAAAACCAAGCGGGCGCCUCACGGUGCUUGUGAUUUGUUGACUCAGAAUAACUAAGCUGAUCGCAUGGUCUUGCACCGGCGACGUGUCUUUCAAGUAUCUGCCUUAUCAACUUUCGAUGGUAGUGUAUCUGACUACCAUGGUUGUGACGGGUAACGGAGGAUAAGGGCUCGACUCCGGAGAAGGGGCCUGAGAAAUGGCCACUACGUCUAAGGAUGGCAGCAGGCGCGCAAAUUACCCACUCUCAGAACACUGAGGAGGUAGUGACGAGAAAUAACGAGGCCGUUCUCUAUGAGGCCGGUCAUCGGAAUGGGUACAAUCUAAACCCUUUAACGAGUAUCUAUGAGAGGGCAAGUCUGGUGCCAGCAGCCGCGGUAAUUCCAGCU
This 513-nucleotide ribosomal RNA is filed under the name Boleodorus thylactus. RNAcentral's name for it is "SSU rRNA". It matches the Rfam family "Eukaryotic small subunit ribosomal RNA", at positions 88 to 590 of the family's 1831-position model. The record is from RNAcentral. Lineage: Eukaryota; Metazoa; Nematoda; Chromadorea; Rhabditida; Tylenchidae.